UCGCACUUUAACAAUUGAAUAUGGGAUGCCUUGGCAUCAAGGGCCGAAGAAGGGCGUGGCAAGGCUGCGAUAAGCCCCGGUGAGCUGUCUAGCAAGCCUAGCCGGGGAUUCCCGAAUGGGGCAACCCGCCCAGGUAAAACCUGGGCACCCCCAGCUGAACACAUAGGCUGGGAGGAGGUAAGCAGGGGAAGUGAAACAUCUCAGUACCCUGAGGAAAGGAAAUUAUUCCCUGAGUAGUGGCGAACGAAAGGGGAAAAGCCCAAACCCGCUAAGUGGGACUAGGCCCUAUGUUUACGGGAGGUUGUAAGGCAGGUUAGACCGAACCUGGAAUAGGUCAAGGAGUUACCAACCGAACCCUAGUUGAAGGACCCUGGAAAGGGCCACCACAGACGGUGAGAGUCCGGUAAACGAAAGGGGUAGGCUCCUUAUCUGUCCUUGAGUACCACGGGACACGAGAAAUCUUGUGGGAAACCGCCCUGACCACAGGGCAAGGCUAAAUACCCUUGAUGACCGAUAGUGAACGAGUACCGUGAGGGAAAGGUGAAAAGUACCCCUGAAGGGGAGUGAAAUAGAACCUGAAACCGUAUGCCUACAAGCAGUCAGAGCUCGUCUUAGGACGGGUGAUGGCGUGCCUAUCGAAGAAUGAGCCGGUGAGUUGAUCUAUGUGGCAGGUUAAGCAAUUUGCGUUGCGGAGCCGAAGCGAAAGCGAGUCUGAAUAGGGCGGAUAGGUCGCAUGGAUCAGACCCGAAGCCGGGUGAGCUACCCAUGGCCAGGGUGAAGCUUCGAUAAGAUCGAAGUGGAGGCCCGAACCGGUCAACGUUGCAAAGUUGUCGGAGGAGCUGUGGGUAGAGGUGAAAUGCCAACCGAACCCGGAGAUAGCUGGUUCUCCCCGAAAUGCAUUUAGGUGCAGCCUCAGGUGAUAGUUGAUGGAGGUAAGGCUCUGGAUGGACUAGGUGGGAGAAUAUCCCGUCAACUCCAACCAAACCGCGAAUGCCAUCAACCCAGAACCUGGGAGUGAGACUGUGAAGGAUAAGCUCCAUAGUCGAGAGGGAAACAGCCCAGACCAUCAGCUAAGGUCCCCAAGAGCAGACUAAGUGGGCAAGGAAGUAAGAUUGCCCAGACAGCCAGGAGGUUGGCUUAGAAGCAGCCAUCCUUUAAAGAAAGCGUAAUAGCUCACUGGUUUAGUGGUUUUGCGCCGACAAUUUAACGGGGCUAAAGUCUGCCACCGAAGCUAUGGCUCUCCGAUUUUAUCGGGGAGGGUAGGGGAGCGUCCCCUUGGCAGUGAAGCUGCUAUGUGAAUAGUGGUGGAGCUAAGGGAAGUGAGAAUGCCGGCAUGAGUAGCGUAAGGCGUGUGAGAAACACGCCCACCGAAAACCUGAGGUUUCCUACGGAAGGUUAAUCCGCGUAGGGUUAGUCGGGCCUAAGCAUGGACAACGGGUUAUUAUUCCCGUACCGCUCCUAUGGAGGCAAAGGAGGGACGCGGAAGGGUAAGCCGAGCGUACCUAAUGGACAUGGUGCGUCUCCUGCUAUAGGUGAUGCCGGGGCAGGUAAAUCCACUCCGGAUAUUUAGCUGAAGGCAGGGGGAAGUUGAGGGGAAACCCAAGACGACUCAGCCAAUCCCAGGCCGCCAAGAAAAGCUUCGUUGCUGUUGAAGUAAGAGCGCCCGUACCGCAAACCGACUCUGGUAGGUGGGGAUAAAUGUCCCGAGGUGAUCGAGAGAACCCUCGUUAAGGAACUCGGCAAUCUAACCCCGUAACUUAGGGAGAAGGGGUGCCCGAUUUAUUCGGGUGGCACAAAAUUGGCCCAAGCGACUGUUUAACAAAAACAUAGGUCUCUGCCAAAGCGUAAGCUGAAGUAUAGGGGCUGAUACCUGCCCAGUGCUGGAAGGUUAAGGAGAGUU
This 1900-nucleotide ribosomal RNA is filed under the name Deltaproteobacteria bacterium. Its description in RNAcentral is "partial 23S ribosomal RNA". It matches the Rfam family "Bacterial large subunit ribosomal RNA", at positions 1 to 1888 of the family's 2925-position model. The record is from RNAcentral. Lineage: Bacteria; Pseudomonadati; Myxococcota; Myxococcia.